RNAcentral lists this ribosomal RNA (220 nucleotides) under uncultured bacterium. Its description in RNAcentral is "partial 16S ribosomal RNA". It matches the Rfam family "Bacterial small subunit ribosomal RNA", at positions 1274 to 1500 of the family's 1533-position model. The record is from RNAcentral.
CUCGAAAGCCUGUCCCAGUUCGGACUGGAGUCUGCAACCCGACUCCACGAAGUUGGAUUCGCUAGUAAUCGCGCAUCAGCCAUGGCGCGGUGAAUACGUUCCCGGGCCUUGUACACACCGCCCGUCAAGCCAUGGGAGCCGGGGGGCGCCUGAAGUCCGGGACCGCGAGGACCGGCCUAGGGCGAAACUGGUAACUGGGGCUAAGUCGUAACAAGGUAAC